ACAACAACAACAACAACAACAAACCCAGUGUAUUUCCACUUAGUGGGGUCUGGGGGGGGUAAGAUGUACGCAGUCCAUACCUCUACCUCUGAUGAAGUAGAAAGGCUGUUUCCGAAAGACCCCCGGCUCAAGUUACGAGAUAUCACACAAACACAUAGUACAGCACAGAAGCAGAUGACAUAACAUAGAUACUGCAGCCAUAAGGAAUAUAAAACAGAGUAAAGCAGGAAAGCAGGAAUAUAAAGCAGAGGAAAGCACACAGAUUCGUAACAAACAUAGAACACGGAACACGGAACAGAACAUUGAAUACGGAAU
RNAcentral lists this long non-coding RNA (315 nucleotides) under Capsicum annuum. Its description in RNAcentral is "long non-coding RNA (CANN_LNC020614)". The record is from RNAcentral. Lineage: Eukaryota; Viridiplantae; Streptophyta; Magnoliopsida; Solanales; Solanaceae.